CCUACGGGAGACAGCAGUGAGGAAUAUUGGUCAAUGGGCGCGAGCCUGAACCAGCCAAGUAGCGUGAAGGAUGACUGCCCUACGGGUUGUAAACUUCUUUUAUAAAGGAAUAAAGUGAGGCACGUGUGCCUUUUUGUAUGUACUUUAUGAAUAAGGAUCGGCUAACUCCGUGCCAGCAGCCGCGGUAAUACGGAGGAUCCUAGCGUUAUCCGGCUUUAUUGGGUUUAAAGGGAGCGUAGAUGGGUUGUUAAGUCCGUUGUGAAAGUUUGCGGCUCAACCGUAAAAUUGCAAUUGAUACUGGCAGCCUUGAGUACAGUUGAGGUAGGCGGAAUUCGUGGGGUAGCGGUGAAAUGCUUAGAUAUCACGAAGAACUCCGAUUGCGAAGGCAGCUUACUAAACUGCCACUGACAUUGAUGCUCGAAAGUGUGGGUAUCAAACAGGAUUAGAUACCCUAGUAGUC
RNAcentral lists this ribosomal RNA (460 nucleotides) under uncultured bacterium. RNAcentral describes it as "partial 16S ribosomal RNA". It matches the Rfam family "Bacterial small subunit ribosomal RNA", at positions 338 to 795 of the family's 1533-position model. The record is from RNAcentral.